Molecule: long non-coding RNA, 1050 nt
Organism: Corticium candelabrum
Lineage: Eukaryota; Metazoa; Porifera; Homoscleromorpha; Homosclerophorida; Plakinidae
Exons: 3
Source: RefSeq, a predicted model, not a curated record
UGUAACAAGCUGAGAACUGGCAUCAGCCGGACUGUCCGGUAGUUGUGACACAGCGCUGCGUUGUUCGUUGACUUUAGAGCUCGAAGUUGUCUGUUUCUCUGGCUUGGAAAAUCAUCUCUAUUUCGGUUUUAACCGAGGACGUACGAUCUUGAACACUGUGUGUAGGAGACUGUUGACAGAGGGCCUUGUCUACUUCAUUACUAGUUCAUACAAUGUGCAGCCUGGGUUAUGGAUCAGAGACAAUGACUGUAUAGACGUUUCUGCAAGCAAACUGUUGAGGGAAGCAGUGGAACGUUAGGGCAAGGCAAAAUAGUAUUAUGUUGAAAGAUGUGUGACAAACAGUGGGUAACUGUUCUCUACCUCAGCCUUGUUGCAACCUCUGGCUAUGCAUGGGAUGCGUUCCACUAGGCAAUUUGGUCUUGGUUGGGAGCAAUUUGCUGAUAUGCUAGAGGUGUUGCUCAAAGGAAUGUCUGAGGGAAGGGAAACGCGACCGUUAGAUCAGAGAGACUGUGCAGAUCGAAUGCAGAGUGCAUGCUCAAUGCUAGUAAACUGCAGCUUUUCUUCACGACAGUAAUUUAAAACUUUUUAGGCUGCAAGCUGCUGCUCAAGCUGUGGGUGUCUCAUACUUAUCAAUAUGUGAUGGGAGCUAUCAGAAUACUCACACGUUUAAUUUUGAUUAAAUAACUUACUGGCAGCAUGAAAAUUAUUAGUAGAAUUUUGGCGUUUUAUCUUGGUUUGGAACAGAAAUGCAAUGGAGCUAGGAGUAUUGUAUUAUUGUUAUGGGUCAUAAGGUCAGGCACUGACUAGAAGCUGCAGGUUCAUGUGCAGUUUAUCUGUCGUUAAUUAAUGUUAUGCUAUUGCAUAUGCAAGUUUGCUGUUGGUACAGUAUACGUAGUAGUGAAAUGUGGUUUCUGCAAUUUGGGGGUUUCAGGACACAUUACGUAAACUUUAAUUAACCUAAAGGAUCUCUCUCUAUAUGUAAUACACACUAGUAUAUGUACGCAAGGCUUUCAAACUUCAAUGAACUGAUAGUUGGUAACGGCAAAAUAU